Long non-coding RNA from Triticum aestivum (bread wheat), 651 nucleotides. RefSeq lists it as uncharacterized. The record is from RefSeq and is a predicted model, not a curated record. The transcript has 3 exons. Lineage: Eukaryota; Viridiplantae; Streptophyta; Magnoliopsida; Poales; Poaceae.
GCAGGUCGCCCAGGUCUCUUCGUCUAUCCCCGAGCGCCGGCCCUAUCCCUAUCCCUGAGCUCCUCUGUUGGUCGAGGCUGCGCCGCCACCGUCCUCAAUCCCGGCGGCGAGCUUCCGCGCCCUCUGAUACCCAUCUACUCUUCUUCUGCAGGCCCCCAUGGUGGGUCUCUUCUUUACUUUAUUUUUUAAUGUCGUCUCCUGCAGCGUUCUGCCUUGGCGACUGCGGCAGCCGCACGCGCUGCUGGCUUCCAUCGCCGAUUGUGUUUCCUCUUGCGUCCGCCUCCAUGCGCUUGCAGCUGGUGGCUGUGGUAACGGGACUGACGGCGAAGGAGAUUCGACAGAGCCGAUCGCGACGAGCACCUCAUCCUCCUUUUACUCCGCAGGAUCAGCGUCCCCUUUUCUUUUGUGUCUGACCAACAGGGUAGGAUGACGUACGUUGUUGAUUUGUUGUACUGAUGCGUGAUCGGGCAUCUCGGGAGGAUGUAAGUGGAACAUUAGCUAGGCCAUGGACAACACAUUGCAGAGGCCAUUAAUAUGUAGCAAAGCCAUUUUAUGAGGUCGUCGUUGACAACAAUGUUAUGCUCAACUUUGAGAGCCAAUCUUCUUUUAUCCGUAUUCAACUCUUGUUGGUAACAUAUUCAUCUCUUGUUA